GUUACCUCCUUCUCGAUCGCUUAAUGCCCACUAAAGACGAAAUCACCUGUAGGAAGCAGUUAAAACGGUGUUCGGUGUUCGAACUCCACAGGGACAAAGGGAUGUGCUUCUUCAUCCAAUUAGACGAUAAUGGAACACGGAUCCUCGUUUUGCCACGGAUUCAGUAUCGAAUCAUUUUCGAUCCUCACCGAUCCUCCUUUCCUUUUUUCUUUUUUUUCUCGACUCUUUCUAGACGCUGUCCACUCUCCCCGUACGAUUCCUCGAAAAAUCGAAGUAGGUGCAAUUUUAUUCUCGAAUAUAUGGUACGGAAUUUGAAAAAUUGGAAUUUUGGAAGGGAAAAAAAGGAAACGCGAAUGGUUGGAAAGGCAAACGGGAAUUCGUAGUAGCUCGUAGAGCGCGACGAGGACGGUGGAACGAAUGCAAGCUCGCGGGGAGGAAGGAGAGAAGCGAGUGAGAGCGGGCCCGAGGUAAAGAGACGCCCGGAUCGCGACAGUCCCGAUAACUGUUUGCCUGCGUGAAGAGCGUUCGAGCGCGUUACAACUCAAACCUUUUAGCCGUUGUUUGCACGGUGCUUUGUAUUCUAUUUGUACAACCGCUUAAACAACUCAGGCUGGACGUAUAAGCCUGGCUCGAGCCUCCUCGAGGGAGUUGUGCGAACUCUCGAUCGACUCGAGGGUGCCACUUUCCGGGCCAACCUGUUGACGCUUCGAUCCUCGAUUUCUCCUCCGUUCCUCCAUCCUUGUUCGCCCUCCCCUCCCCUCCCCUGCCCUCGCCCCCCUCCCGCGUGACCUCCAGCCUCCCCGUGAAACCUCUGGAUCGUUAACGAUUCGUAUUAACGUUAUUCCUAAGGCUAAGAUAAGGUCGGAGAAAGAUGACUGGUCCGCGCGCAUAGCGGCAGAAAAAUGUCGGCGUUCGUCUUCUUUGUUUUCACGGGAUUCCUUGGCUUCCAGGCUAUACGGUUUUUGGCCCGUCUCGAUUUCACAAUCCCGGGGACGUCGCGUCGCGUUAAGCAACGGAGGAGGACGAUCGAUUACCAUCGCGUUGGUUGGAUCGAUGAUCGGCACGAAGGUAGACGAUGCCAGCCUUCUCCGCUCGUGGUAAAACGUUUCGGGAUGGUGGAGCAGGGGAAAUGGAAGGAAAGGAAGCGGAGAAGCGAGUGAAAAAAAAGGGGAGAGGAGAGAGAGAGAGAGAGAAAGAGAGAUAUGAUAAAAAUGAGAAAGAGAGAGGAGACGCGAGGAUUUACCUGGACGGAAGAAAUGGGGCUACUCUGGAGCUCGUAGACAGGUAGGUGGAUAGCAGAGCGACGGUACGAUCACUAAAUUAAGCUGGAUUAGGCUAAUCUGGCCCCGCGGAUCGUUAAUUAACGAGGCUAUUAGUCAACGGCGGUGACUAUUAAUUCGAACGAUAGUCGUGUCUCGGCGAUACGUUAUGGCAAUAUCGUGUAUUUGUCACUAUCGUCCGGCUCACAAAUUGGUUACAGCGCACCUGGAAUGUCGUGCCCCUUCACAGAGGGAACUCUCUCUCCAUGUUCUGCUAUUUCUCUCCUCUUCUUUGCCUCCUCUCUCUCGCCACCUUCAAGCGUUUCCUCCUCCUCUCCUCCUCAUCGUCCUCAUCGUCGUUGUCGUUACCCCUGAAAUUACUUUACUCUCUCCUCUUCUCUGCUUCGAUCUAUCUUCGUUACGCACGAGCAUUCUCUCGGUGCUCGCUUCGUCGUGAUGGUGAUUCGAUGGGAGCGUAGGUUCGAUCGCAAGGUCUCGCACAAGUUAGAGAUUUUACGCGAAAUUCCAGCCACCGGAUCGCGUCGUAUUCGUACAGAUCCUGAGAGCAGUCGAUCGUUAUCGGCCCUCAUCAACGUCGUUUCGCUAUUAAUUUAUCGUCGUGUCGCGGGAGAACCGACCAACGAGAUACGACGAUACCACGCUCGGACCACACUUGGGAUACCUUGGCCGGGUUCGCUCGAUAAAUUAUGACCACGGACGAUCGAUUAAUUUACCGAAAUUGGAUACUUUAUCGUCGAAUACUUUGUGAAAGCAACGAUGAGAAAUCGAUCGACGAUCCCUCAAGAUUCCAGUAGCGCGCCUCGACCUCCUACCGUCGAUCUUCUCUAUUUUCCACCUCUCUCCCUCUCUCGUAGAUUUCCUUCGCCUCGAUUCGAGCGUGGCAAUGAAUGGAACCGUUAAAACUGUCACCGAAACGAUACGAACGAGACACAAGUAGUAGUUGAUGCGGCCAUUCAUUGUCAGGUAAGUACCUGUGGGGUUCCACGCAGCCCUCGUGGGUGUCAUUGGCUCGAAUUUAGAAAGGGCGAACUCCCCUUUUGACCGAGUGCUAAGUUAGCGUGCAUCCGGGUUGACCAGGGAAAAAGAUUCUGCCUCCUCUCUCACCUGGCUAUGACAAAUUCAAAAAAUAUUUGUAGGCACGCCACGAAGGUGGAGCACCGUGGUACGCGCGUCCACUUCGAAAAGAACGGCUCAAUGGAAAAUCACCGAGGAUAACUAAUUCGGAAUUCGGUCCCUGGAACCAAGAAGAGUGAUGUGGAGUAGUAGUAGUAGUAGUAGUAGUAAUAAUAAUAGUAGUAAUAGUAGUAGUAAUAGUAGUACUAGUAGUAGUAGUAGUAGUAGUAAUGGAGAGUAAUCGCGCGUUACCUUCCAAAAUCUUCGACGUUUCUAUCUUCUCCCCCUUCCCCCUUUCAUUUUCUCGAAACGGCCCGGUCCAUCUUUUUCGUGAGGCCCUUCUCGUUCGCAUGAUCCCGCGAUUAUUAACGAUUUAACACGGGUUUCGAGAACCACGCUAGAAAACCGCCCGUGGAGCGUAGCUUUGCGCGUUUCUUCGCGCCGAAAUUACAACAGGACGCCUAAUUAUCGUUGGAAGGGAGGAAGGAGAGAUGGCUCGAUGGUUGGGAGGAGUCCGGGAUUGCCUUGCGUCUUUUACCUACCGCAACGCUCGUUGAUUCGUCCCGGGUGAGAGAACGACGCGAAUACCGCAACCCGACACUCGCCACCUCCUCCGUUCGCUCUCCUCGUGCAUAAUAACUUUAUUCUUUAAAUUACUUCGGCCACCCUUUCCCCUUCUCCUUCUCCCUCUCCUUCUCCGCGGUUCGAGUUCGUAAGUACGAACGCCGUGUCUCUAGGCGAGAGAAAAAUUUCGAGACGCGGAUCGCGCUCGAAAACGGUGGUGCGCGUUCGUUUCCCGCGCACGGGUGGUCGCAGUCGGACGAGAGAGGAACUCGGGUCGACGUACCCGACGUCCGUGCCAGGGGAACCAUAGUUACACCUAUUUGUUCUUCGGAUUCCACGUAGCCGAGGCAUUUCUGAUUUUUCACGCGCGUCUCUCUCUCUCUCUCUCUCUCUCGCGGGUGGCCGAUCACCAUCGGAUUCCCAUCCGUGACCAUUUCGUCCGUUUUCGCAGCCCAACACAUUCGUCCUCUACCUUUCGUCGACCCAUUCCUACCUCUCUAUCCCUGGUCUCCUCCCAUCCCCGGGCCACGUCGCAUUUUCACUCCCUUCUUCCAAGAUUCGCAUCGCUCGACCAGGGAAGAGGAGCGACGAGCAGUUCUACGCAUCGUUCGAGCGAGGCGAGAGCAUAUCCGGGUCCGAUUUCGAAACGAUCGUUCGUUCGUUUCCAUUAACGAUGAUGACUCGUCAAGAUGAUUGUGGGACUAAACGAAACCGGAACGAACGGACGGCUUGCGGAAAUGACGCGCGCGACGAACAACAAAGUGGUGGUCGAUGAUUCACGAUAGACGGCCACGUCGGGGUCAGCUUCUUCUUCCGCGAGCCGCUAUUUCGAACGAAUUGGAAUUCGGAUCGACCGAUCGAGAUUCGGACGGAGAGGAAAUGGAAUGGUACGUUUUAUAUUGCUUGCUCUCCGAGAGCAAGAACGGAAAGAGAGAAGCGUCGAUGAAUCCUAACGAACGGAGGCUUGGGGAGAGAGAGGGAGGGAGGGAGGGGGGUCUUCGACCCUUGGUGGUGGAGGCCCACUGUGGGAAUCUUUUAGAUAUCGAUGACGGGAAAGGAACGCGUCCCGCGGAGCGCUAAUGGAUCGAUCCUGGGUGGUUCGAUCGGCGGUGCGAUCACGAUGUUCGUGAUUCGGUCGAGGGAUCUCCUCUCGCGUUAGGUCGGCGAGAGGUCGGAAACGGGACGACCGAAAUCGCCCCGGGCCGGUUGGAGGGCCGCGCCAUUCGCCGAUUCGCCUCGCGUGUCGCGUGAUUAACGCAACGUUAUUAAAACGUAUAUAUCCGUGUGUCCGCGGGGCCACGAGGAAACGUACGGCCGGCCAUUAGCCCUAGCGAAAUCGUGGUGGCUAAUUAAUCGGAGCAAUUAAGAAGAGGAGAAGAGAGAAGUGUGUCCUCCCCCGUUCCCCGCCCCCCGUCCCUUCUUUCCAUCUCGACCCUCCCCCUCGCCCUGUGCGCGCCGGCCGAACCCGAACCUCGGAUGGAUCCCCGCGUGGAUCGUGGGUCCCGCGACACGAUGAUCUACGCCCCGUGCGUCCACGCCGAUUUAUUAAUGCGCGCGCCCACGGCAUUGGUUACUUUUUUGCCUCGGGAGGCGAACGGCCUCGGGAAACGGCGUGGAGGACGGACAAAAAUCGGAUAUCUGCUCGCGGGAUGGUGGCAAAGCCACGGAAAACAAACGGUGUUACGUCCGUUCCGAGACGAGGAGCGGAUGGAAACGGUGGAUUUGGAAAAAAGUUGGGAACGCGAUCAAAGGGGGGCGCAAAACCUUUGAUCGAUUCCCUGGUUCGAGGAUUUUUAUUCCGGUCGAUGGCGUUUCCGUCGAAUCGGCGCGCGGCAUACCUUCGGCUUGGAGCGUGCGCGAGCUGUCCAACGAUGGCGAAACCAAGACGUCUGUUUCUCGACAUUGACACGAACGCGUUCGUUUCCGUCCCGGAGAUGGCCGACAGCCGAUCGACGCGUCUUGGCACGCGCGAACAGCCGCGCACAAGAAGCGCAAUCUUUCCGGGCAGAUCGGUUCGCGCCACGCCAGCCGCGGGAUCCGCCUCGUAAAUUUUUUUUCCCUCGAUCCGCGAAUCGGCAGGCCCGCUGCGUUCGACGAUACGUCAUUUCUUGGCAGAUCGAACGAUCGACCGAUCGAUAUUAACGCGUCCCGUCACGCCAAGAAUGCGUCGACGCGUCCCUAUUUCUUUUUCUCCGCUCCAGCUACACCCUUCUUUCUCCCUUUUCUUCUUCUCUCCUCCUCCUCCUCCUCCUCCUCGUCCUCCUUCUCCUCCUCCUCCUCCUCCUCCUCCACGGCCAGCAGCUUGUCCUCCUUUCUUCCGUACAGGAUUCACGAGCGACACGCUCGAUCGACGGGAGACACGAGAUUUAUCGACCGGUUCCCAAGACUCGUUAUUGUUCCAUAUCGUAUCGUCCUCCUCCCUGUCCGGAUAAUUGCGCGAGCACGCGCUUCGAAUGUCGAUUCGAGGCGUACGGGACGUCGCCGUUUCACGAAUUUACGCUCGAGAACCCGAUGGAUCGCGCGUGGAUAAAGAUCGACAACCUGUUGGAGGAUUCCUCGAGAGGAGGACGAGGAAUCGCGCGGAUGGAAGGAAUGUCGAGACGAGAGAUAUUGUUGCAGAGGCGAGCCAAGUUGAAACGGCGCGAAACGAAAUCGAUUUCGCGAGAUCGCACGAGCGUACCGAACGAAACCGGACCGUCGACCCCCUCUCUCUCUCUCUCUCUCUCUCCCCGGCUCUCCAACGGGAUUAAUUAAUAUUAGUAACACUGGGGGAGGCCGUAAUUAAUUACCGGGCCGGAGCAACCAUUCGUCUUAAUACGAGCGCGCUAUGCGCCCCCUGGCAUUCGCUCGUUUGUUCGUCCGAUCCAGAUAAUGAUCGCGACCUAAUGAAAACAUUAUGUUCGACGAUGGGCUCACGAGCCGUUCCGAGUCCACUCGAAUAUCAUUCCGAAAGAUCCAGCAAAUCAUAAACGUUUCGUUCCUGUUACUUGUAUACGAUGUACAUAUCUCUUUGGUUAAUGCGUGUGUGCAAUUCCCUAUCUACACGACGUUUCGAAACGACGUAUCAAAAAUUUCAAGUUUUAUUUAUUUUUCUUCUUCGUUCCAACCUUCUCGGGCCAAGAUUGAAUUAAAUUAAAGCGUUCCUUUUGCAAGUUCGUACGAGCUUUUACGUGUGUAACUUUACUCUUAAGAAAACUUUUUUUUUAAACGUUUACUCUUAGGUAAACAAGUAAGUUUGUGAAAGUAAGUAUUUGUUAAAUUACAACUUUUUACGAUGAACUUUUCCCUUUUCACAUGUUUUUUCUCUCUGUCCAUUUUUUUUUCUUCAGGUUCCCCGCAGCGGGAACCCGAAGCAGUAGUAAAUGCGUAUCGAUCACGUUCGUGAGGUUAUUAUGCCAGCCGUUUGUCCGGCAAUAAAUACAUAAAUGUCCAUAACGGAAGGGAUAAUUCGGCGUGCAAGUCCUACGGGUGGGUGAUGCUCGAAGUAUUCUUUGGGGAAUUGGUCGGAGACGAAAUUUCAGUCGCACGUACUUCUCGUAACGUAUUUAUCAAGUUGAACGAUACCGAAAGAUGAAACACGAACAAGAAUGAAAGAAGAUGGGUAAAAAGAGCAAGAAACGACGAAGACGGCAGAACGGGCAUCGUGUCGAGCGUUUCCUCUUUCUUCGUUCGUCGCUAGCCAAAACUCCAUGACGAAUCUCUUCAUCCGCGAAUGACUGCGAGUUUUCCUAGAAUCGACCAACUCCUCCGUCGUUCUUUCUUCCUUCCAUGUUCGAGGUGCAAGGUGAAGACGACGAGAGCAAUUUAACGAAAAAAUUGGACAGCUUCGUUUUUCUUUUUUGUUCCUCGAUGAAAGCGAUCGAUAUCGAAAGAGAUAUCGGAAGAAUCGCAACGUAAUUGGAGAAGGAAACUAAUAUGAAGAUGGAGGAGAAGAGGAGGCGAAGAAGACCACGAAGAAUCGAUGGCGUGAGAGUCGAACGGCGUUCUCUUAAUUAAGGAGGAGCGAAGGAAUGCUCCGGGAAAGCAGGUUCGUCCCGUCGUUGUUCGUUUCCAACGAUUAGCUCGUCCGAAGAAAGCUUCUUUCUGUCACGAGACCGAGAGUAGGAGGGAGUAAGAAGAGCGAAGAAGGAGGAUGGAAAGGAUAAAAAGAAAAAGAAGGAUAGGGUGAGAAUGGCAGCGCCUAUCGUGCAGGCGCCACCGCGUUCACGGUUCCGGUUGGCCGGGAUCGAGAAACAAUAAUUACCUCUCGCGGGUCCUUUGAUGUCCUCCGACGCGUUCGCACCCCGCCCAGAGAUCUCCUCGUAGGUGUCCCGGGUGGUCGUAGACGGUCACGCACACCGAAACGAUAGUUCGUAGCUACGAACACGCCGGGUACACGAGUCCUUUCGCCGAAUCGAGACCCAGUCGAUUCGUGUCCACCGACGCUCGGCUUUUUGCAUUCAUCCCCGUCGGGGGUUUGGAAUCCGACUCGACUCCCUCUACACCGGAUUCAGCGCUCUCCGCCCGCUCUCCGCGUCCUUCGAAUUUUUUCGCCCGAGCUAUCGAGAGGAGGUAGUUUUAUCUUCUCCGGCUCGUGGCUCUUCCCUCGGACGAAACCGAGCUGGUGGUGAUUCCUGUACAUACAUACAUCGUAUCAUCCCCGACGAUGGAAAGACGGAGAGAGACCGGUUGCCGGAGGAUAAUCUAGAAAAUAGGAUGAAAGGCGAUUUCUUGUCUCGGAAAGGGAAAACGAAAGGAGCCCGGGAUCAUCCGAAACAAACGAAUCUUCGCGUUUGUCGGAGCCCACCGCUCUUUUGUUACCCGUUUAUACGGUUAGCUAAUGAGGAUCAACGUUAACCUAUAUUAAGCUAAUCCAUCCUUCGAAAGCCGUUCUCGUGGCACGGCUUCUGCCGCUGGAUCCUCCAAUCCUCCCGACCUCCGACUAAGAAGACACCUGCCGUCGUCGCGAACACGCUUGGCUUCGCGAUCGACCAUCGCUCCCUCGACUUGCUGUAAAACUUGGAUCUCUCGAUCCAAGGGUCCAAUAAAAAUCAAUUUCACGCGUGCACUCGCGGUCCGUUGAUGAAAUCGGAUUAGCCGGCGAAAGUUUCGAGAGAAGCCUCUCCUCCUCUUUCUCCUCCUCGCCCUUCUCCCUUUGGAUCGAGUCGCCGAAGAGGAAAAGACCGGCGAAUAGUCAGCCCGACGACAUUGUUAUCGAAGAGACAAGAGUUUUUGGUACGCGCGUGGAAGCAUUUGCGCCGAAAGCUGGGCGAAAACCUUCGGGGCGCACGGGAGACAAAAUAUGCGGGGUGGUCCGGUCGAGUUUGCGGCGGGCCACAGGCCGCAACUUCAUUUACACCUAUUCAGCCUCCCUCCCUCCCUCCGAACACGGCCUUUAGAUUUACGAGCUAUCUCGCUCUCACCUCUCGCUUUGCCUCGCCACCUUGCCAUCGCGUUCCUCUCUUCGCCGCCCUCGUCGUCCUGCCUCGCUUCGUCCCGUUUCGCCGCGCCUCUUCCACCAUCUUCUUCUGCUCGCCGCUCCACCUCCUCCUCGACCCGAUCGGCGUCGAGCCCCGACCGACGCGUUUGGAUCGCGACGCUUCCGACCGCUCUCUCUCCUCUCCCCGUUCCGUACCGACAAAGGAAUCACCCCGUAUCGUUCUCAUCCCUCUAUCGCGCGAAGACGCCGCCUCUCUAAAUAAAUCGCUGCGCCAAGAUAUCGAUAAGAGGUUAUUGAUUUAUCGACCGGUCGACCGAGAGGGUAUCUCUGAUACGAAAACCAUGCGCCACCACGGAUCCAGAUUCGUCGAAUCGAACGUGCGCGCUUUUAUUUUUACUCCAUUUUUCCCCCGGCGGCGUUGUGAUGGCGGUGGUGUUGCGCGCCACGCAACUUAUUUUCGUCGAAAUUGCGGUUACGAAGGCCUGGCAAAGGAGGGUCCAGGAAAAACGCGGCCUCGCGCGGCCUGCCGUGGAACUCGUCGACAUUAAGUCAUUACCGUAAGCGUCGAGCCGAGCGAGCGGGCAAUCGGCGCGGACAGUCCGUCACGCGAGAAACCGUGGCUUCGCUCUCGGCGAUUCCGCUCGCUAACAGCUUAUUCGCCCGUGACUCGACCUCGAUUAUUUCAACGCGAGCUCUCGUCUGAAGAAACUCGACCAACUCGCCCGCGGCAAAUCGAAUGUUAGCCGGCGACGAUCGCAGAGGUCCUCCGAACACAACGACCUUUGGAGACUUUUCCUCUCGUCGAUCGAAAGAAAGAAAGAAACCGGCGAAUACCGCCUCGAAUUAGAAUCGAGUUUUUCUCGAUUCUCGAGUCCUACCUUGUGUAACUGUGUCCGGUAACUGAGAAAACAGAACCGCCAACAGUUUCAUCGCUCUAUGGUCGAACGAUCGAAUUUCGAAUCGUCAUCGCGCGCGACGUGGUGACGUGGAGAGAAAGAACACGAACAAAAGGAGAAGAAGAGGAGGUUGGGCGAGCAUUCCCGCGGUAUUGUAAUUGUUCGGAAUUUUGUCGGCGAGGAGCUCCUCUCCGUUCCUUUUCCUCCGCUCGAGUUUCCAGCGCGGUCUCCUCCUCCUCCUCUUCCUCCUCGGAUCUCGUCUCUCGAGAGACACGCGUGGACAAAAACGUAAUUGCGCUCUCGUCGCCGAGACGAUUUACGUCGAUCAAUCUCCCCGUAACUCUGAGCCGGGAUCGCGACCGCUGCGAAGUGACCUCGUUCCCGAAUAUCCAUCGCUCCGAUCUUUUUACGCCGCCCCGUAAAUCGCCUUUUCUUGCGUCUCCUUCGCCGCUAUUUCACCUUCUCUUGGCGUCUCGACGACUUUCGUUUUCCAACCUAUCUCCUCUUCCCUGCCCCUCGUGUGUUUUCCGCUCGCGGAAGAAAGGAUGCGCGGCGGAGAGAGAGAGAGAGGAGAGAUGAUGGAGCGAUGGAAAAAGCCUCGCGGCCGGCGCGGAUCCAUAGCUACGCGGCCGCUUCUCUUCUCGCAUUCCGACACUGCGUUCGUUCCCACACACGCAUGUGUGCACCUCCACCUUUCGAUUCGUGCAUUCUCGCGACGUCGGGCCGCAGAGGGAGACGGAAGCGGGCCGUGAACGGAGACGAACCAGCUGCGACGGGCGAACGACGGGGGUACGCGCGGGGAACGAGGCUCUCGACGGAUGAAUGAAAAAAGAGGAGAAAGGAGAAGAGAGAGAGAAGGGUACGGUGGACGGGGGGACGGGGAUAACGAGA
Long non-coding RNA from Apis cerana (Asiatic honeybee), 10163 nucleotides. RefSeq lists it as uncharacterized. Lineage: Eukaryota; Metazoa; Arthropoda; Insecta; Hymenoptera; Apidae. The record is from RefSeq and is a predicted model, not a curated record.